Molecule: long non-coding RNA, 784 nt
Filed under: Oryza brachyantha (malo sina)
Lineage: Eukaryota; Viridiplantae; Streptophyta; Magnoliopsida; Poales; Poaceae
Description: long non-coding RNA (OBRA_LNC000651)
Source: RNAcentral
CAACGUACUCCAUACUGCAAGGAACAUGCGUAUGCAAUGCAAUGGAUAACACACACGAGUAUAGCUUAGCUACAGGAGAAUAUAAAUCUAUCUAGCUAUGGUCAUCUCAUCAGGGACAUGUCUUGCUGAGGCGUCUACGAAGCCAUCAAUGUAUGGUGAUGAUGUUGUCAGAUACACCAGAGGGAUUGCAAUGCAAAGCUCUGCAUCGAUCUCUUCCAUUCACGGGCAGCAGUAGUAGAUAAAGAAGCCAUCCUGCACCUUGCCUUUGCAUGCACAUGGACACAGAACAAGGGUUCAUAGAAGCCAGAUCGAUAGAGUGUGUGAAUCCUGGACAGAAUGGCUGCCUGAUUGCAGUUGUUUCCCACAGUACAAAGAGCCACUACCAGUGAAGUAAGAAGUGAAGUGAGCUUACAGAGAGAGUGAGAGAGACAGCUACUCCUAGAUAGCUCAGAGAGAAAGCGAGACAUCAGCUAGCUCUCUCAUCUUCUUGCUCUCAUGGGCGUCUUGGUUAGUGGUGGCUUGUGAGAUCCGGCAGUCCGGGGAGAGGAUUCGCUGCUUCGUCUGAUCGGUUCUUGCAUGGCAAGAGCUCCAUGGAUUGGACAUGGAAGACCAGCACCAGCUGCUGCGCGGUCGCUCGUCGGCCUCGGCCUGUGCGUUUUCGUCUGCGCCGUCAUGCUCGUCGCGUCGCUGUCUCCUCCUCCGGGGGAAGAGGGUACGACGGUGCGGUCGUCGUUGCCGGCGGCUGCGGCUGCGGCGUCGACGUCGGUGCAGGCCGGCGGACGGC